RNAcentral lists this transfer RNA (24 nucleotides) under Oncorhynchus nerka (sockeye salmon). RNAcentral describes it as "partial tRNA-Trp". The record is from RNAcentral. RNAcentral also lists the same sequence under 1 other name. Lineage: Eukaryota; Metazoa; Chordata; Actinopteri; Salmoniformes; Salmonidae.
AGGGCUUAGGAUAGUACUAAGACC